RNAcentral lists this long non-coding RNA (682 nucleotides) under Fukomys damarensis (Damara mole-rat). Its description in RNAcentral is "lncRNA (ENSFDAG00000021663.1)". Lineage: Eukaryota; Metazoa; Chordata; Mammalia; Rodentia; Bathyergidae. The record is from RNAcentral.
AACGAUGGAGCAUUUCUUUUGUUAUACAACAUUUGAUAAUAAAUAAAUACCAUUCUCUAUUUAAUGUUGAGGCAAUUGCAUGAAAAAUUAAGAUUGCAAAUAUCUAUUGUUAGGUUAAAAAGUUAAAUAAUUAAAAGUUUGUAUGCAAAUUUAAUUUUAUGGUUCUUCUUUCUCAUUUAAAGAUGUAGCACAAAACGAAGAAGUCCUGCUGUAGCCCAUAAGUGUGCCAGUUCUCACUGCUCGAUGCCCACUUUAAUGACCGUGGUAAAUGAACAAGGACAGGGGAAAAGAAAAGAAAAAAUGAAGAACAAUAAAGAUGCAUGGGAAAGAAAGAGAAAAAGGACAGAAAAAAGGGAAGAAAACAAUGUCAGGAGCACAGGAAGAAGAAGAAAAGUAAGAAGAGUGCUAUGGAAAGAAUGUCUUGAUGUUUCCAGUCUCUCAACUCCUCUGAAGCAUGACGUGAUUCUGGGAGUGGCCAACAGGGCCAGGGCUCGCGCUGAGAACUUCCACACAAAGACAGAACAAAACAGACAAAACAAACAGAACAAAGCAAUUGGUAAUGUUGUUUGAGAGUCAUUUCUUAACCAUCUCAAAUGAUAGACUGGACUAUAUUUUUUGUUUGAUCAAAAAUCUUGAACUGUAGUCAGAUCUUCAUAAUAUAUGAUGUGCAUACUUGAGCCAA